RNAcentral lists this long non-coding RNA (1132 nucleotides) under Anser brachyrhynchus (Pink-footed goose). RNAcentral describes it as "lncRNA (ENSABRG00000013045.1)". Lineage: Eukaryota; Metazoa; Chordata; Aves; Anseriformes; Anatidae. The record is from RNAcentral.
CAUGCUUGUUCAGCAGUAAUAUUUUGCUGUGAAUGUCCCCCUUACCUGCAUUUAUCAUGUGUUGAUUGCUCAGUUCACUGAAGCGCAGGAUGCCGAGCAGAGCCAUGGGUCAAUAAAGUAAUUUAUAAUGAUCAACCUUCUGGGCAGACCGUGUCAUGAACCAGUCUUUACUGUUUUCUUCUAGCAGAGAAAAUCUGUUCUCCUCUUGAUUAAUAUUUGCUNNNNNNNNNNAAAAAAAAAAAAAAAAAGGCACAGAAAAUUUACUAGCCUUUAUAACAAACUUUUAUACUUAACAGAGAAAUUGGAUGAUGUGUCCAAAACUUGUAUGUUGCUCUUGAAUCCAGUAUAACAUCAACGAGUAUUUAUUUUUAAUCUAUGUGUAUCUGAUAGGUAUAUUCAUCAAUAUGUGACACAUUUAAUGACAACAGAAGUUGAUUUUAGGGUGACUUCAAGUCAGGGAAAAUGACUUCUCUUAGAUGUGGCAAAACCUGACGUGCAAACUGGUUAUUAUGAUUACACAAGCAGUAAAAUCAUCUGCGAUGCAACACAUGGCCUGGUGCCAUGUCACACCUGCAGCAGGCCCACAGGGACAAAGAAGCACACUGCUGCGGAGCAGCCCCGCUGGUUGUGGCUGCCCUUUAUCUUUGCCUUCCAGGCACCUGCUUGGGAAAGGUGGUGAGGCCUCCUGCCCUCCUGGAACCUCCUGGAACCUUCAGGAGUGGGAGCAGGGGCCUGUACCUGUGCCCUGCUGGGGGGCUGCAACAUAAUGGCAGGUGUUACAGCCCUGGAGGGCCGGACCUGCCAUGUCUGCAGGCUGCAGGGCUCGGCGGGGACACGGGAGAAGCACUGGGGACCUGCACUGCAAGGAGCUGGGUGGAAUUUCCUGGUUUUGUCCAGAAGGAGUGUGCAAGUGAAGAACCAAAGGAGGCUGAUCACUAAGCAAACUUUUCUUACUUUGCCUUUUGUGGUCAAGCCCUCUACAUUUCGUUAUAGCCCUGCAGUUUAAACGGGAAAAGGAAGCUGCUUCUCUGCUGAAGAGAUCUGUAUCCCAUUUCAUCAUUCACCUUGUAAGUCAGAAGAGACAGGAUAUGUACCUAAACAAAUAUUAUAUAUUAUAGUCCUGAUUUUCCUG